Molecule: ribosomal RNA, 2595 nt
Filed under: freshwater metagenome
Description: bacterial LSU rRNA
Rfam family: Bacterial large subunit ribosomal RNA
Source: RNAcentral
UGGGAUGUUGGUGGAUGCCUUGGCAUCGAAAGGCGAAGAAGGACGCGCUAACCUGCGAAAAGUUUCGGCGAGCUGGAAAGAAGCAUUGACCCGGAAAUAUCCGAAUGGGGAAACCCACUAGAUGGAAAGAUCUAGUAUUUUGCACUGAAUACAUAGGUGUAAGAAGCGAGACCCGCUGAAGUGAAACAUCUCAGUAAGCGGAGGAAAAGAAAUUAAAAAAGAUUCUCUUAGUAGCGGCGAGCGAAACGGGAAGAGCCUAAACCUAGAGAUUUAUCUCUAGGGGUUGCAGGGCCAGUUCAUAAAAGCAAAGAAUUUUAGCUGAACCUACUGGGAAGUAGGACGAAACAGGGUGAUAGUCCCGUAAGCGAAAAAAGGAAAUGCUCGAAUUGGUACCUAAGUAGGGCCGGACACGUGAAACCCGGUCUGAAUCAGGGGGGCCCGCCCUCCAAGGCUAAAUACUCAUCGAUGACCGAUAGUGAACCAGUACUGCGAAGGAAAGGUGAAAAGAACCUCUGAUAGAGGAGUGAAAUAGAACCUGAAAUCAGCAGCCUACAAACGGUCGAAGGCCUAUGUCCCUUUUAGGGAAAUGGCUGACGGCGUGCCUUUUGCAUGAUGAGCCAGCGAGUUAGGUUUUAUGGCAAGGUUAAGCAACAUACGUUGUGGAGCCGUAGCGAAAGCGAGCGUGAAUAGCGCGAAUAAGUCAUAAGGUCUAGACACGAAACCAAGUGAUCUAUCCAUGGCCAGGUUGAAGCUCAGGUAAGACUGAGUGGAGGACCGAACUAGUGACUGUUGAAAAAGUCUUGGAUGAGCUGUGGAUAGGGGUGAAAGGCCAAUCAAACUUGGAGAUAUCUUGUUCUCUCCGAAAUAACUUUAGGGUUAGUCUUGGUCAGAUGUUCUACAGGGGUAGAGCACUGAAUCUCCGCGGGGGCAUACCUGCCUACCAACGGGAAUCAAACUCCGAAUACUGUAGAAUAGACCGGGAAAUAGACUGUGGGGGAUAAGCUUCAUAGUCAAAAGGGGAACAGCCCAGAUCGUCGAUUAAGGCCCCAAAUUCUAGUUUAAGUGGGAAAGGAAGUAGAGUUUCUAAAACAGUUGGGAUGUUGGCUUAGAGGCAGCCAUCAUUUAAAGAGUGCGUAACAGCUCACCAAUCGAGAGACUCUGCGCCGAUAAUAUCCGGGACUCAAAACUAGAGCCGAAAUCACGGGUGUAUAAAGAAAUUUAUACGCGGUAGGAGAGCGUAGUAUUUGCGAUGAAGGUAUACCGAGAGGAGUGCUGGAGCGGAUACUAGUGAAUAUGCAUGGCAUAAGUAAACGAUAAAGGAGGUGAAAAUCCUCCUCGCCGAAAACCUAAGGUUUCCAGGGUAAAGCUCGUCUUCCCUGGGUUAGCCGGCCCCUAAGUCGAGGUGGAAACACGUAGACGAUGGAAAACAGGUUAAAUAUUCCUGUGCCGCCUAAAGCGAUAUCGAAGUGGUGACGGAGUAAGUUAAGUGCGCGGACUAUUGGAUGUCCGUUCGGACUCGAGGUAGGUCAGUAGGCAAAUCCGCUGACGGAAUACUGGGGGUCUGACAAGGGGAACGCAAGGGAACCGAUGGCAUAGCGCGAUGCUUUCAAGAAAUAACCACUAGAUGCUGAUGGCGACCGUACCAAAACCGACACAGGUGGGUGGGUAGAAUAUACUCAGGCGCGCGAGAGAACUCACGUUAAGGAACUCUGCAAAUUAGUCUCGUAACUUCGGGAGAAGAGACACUUUGAUAUGUGAUAGGAUUUACUCCUAGAAGCGUAUUGAAGUCGCAGUGAAAUGGCCCAGGCGACUGUUUAACAAAAACACAGCACUCUGCUAAUUCGUCUAAGAAGACGUAUAGGGUGUGAUACCUGCCCAAUGCCGAAAGGUCAAAAGGAGAUGUAAGUCCGCAAGGGCGAAGCAUUGAAUUUAAGCCCCGGUGAAUGGCGGCCGUAACGAUAACGGUCCUAAGGUAGCGAAAUUCCUUGUCGGGUAAGUUCCGACCUGCACGAAUGGUGUAACGAUCUGGGCGCUGUCUCAACGAGAGACUCGGUGAAAUUGUAGUAGCAGUGUAGAUGCUGUUUACCCGUAAUAAGACGGAAAGACCCCGUGAACCUUUACUGUACUCUGAUAUUGGCUCUUGACCUGUUUUGUGUAGGAUAGCCAGGAGGCUUUGAAGUUGUGUCGUCAGGCACAAUGGAGCCAUCGGUGAAAUACUGGUCUAAAUAGGUUGAGAAUCUAACUUUACGCCAUGAAGCUGGCGAAAGGACAAUGUCAGACGGGCAGUUUUACUGGGGCGGUAUCCUCCUAAAGAGUAACGGAGGAGUCCAAAGCUUGCCUCAUCGUGGUUGGUAAUCACGAAAAGAGCGUAAAAGUAUAAGGCAAGUUGACUGCGAGACCAACAAGUCAAGCAGGUACGAAAGUAGGGUUUAGUGAUCCGGCGGUUGAAAGUGGAAUCGCCGUCGCUCAACGGAUAAAAGGUACUCCGGGGAUAACAGGCUUAUCGCCACCAAGAGUUCAUAUCGACGUGGCGGUUUGGCACCUCGAUGUCGACUCAUCGCAUCCUGGGGCUGGAGAAGGUCCCAAGGGUUUGGC